GGGCCCGCACAAGCGGCGGAGCAUGUGGCUUAAUUCGAUGCAACGCGAAGAACCUUACCUGGGUUUGACAUGCAGGGAAAUCUCGUAGAGAUACGGGGUCCGUAAGGGCCUUGCACAGGUGGUGCAUGGCUGUCGUCAGCUCGUGUCGUGAGAUGUUGGGUUAAGUCCCGCAACGAGCGCAACCCUCGUCUUAUGUUGCCAGCACGUAAUGGUGGGGACUCAUAAGAGACUGCCGGGGUCAACUCGGAGGAAGGUGGGGAUGACGUCAAGUCAUCAUGCCCCUUACGUCCAGGGCUUCACGCAUGCUACAAUGGCCGGUACAAAGGGCUGCGAUACCGCAAGGUGGAGCGAAUCCCAAAAAGCCGGUCUCAGUUCGGAUUGGGGUCUGCAACUCGACCCCAUGAAGUCGGAGUCGCUAGUAAUCGCAGA
RNAcentral lists this ribosomal RNA (429 nucleotides) under uncultured Actinomycetes bacterium. RNAcentral's name for it is "bacterial SSU rRNA". It matches the Rfam family "Bacterial small subunit ribosomal RNA", at positions 917 to 1348 of the family's 1533-position model. The record is from RNAcentral. Lineage: Bacteria; Bacillati; Actinomycetota; Actinomycetes.